Molecule: ribosomal RNA, 1024 nt
Filed under: Acinetobacter sp.
Lineage: Bacteria; Pseudomonadati; Pseudomonadota; Gammaproteobacteria; Moraxellales; Moraxellaceae
Description: bacterial SSU rRNA
Rfam family: Bacterial small subunit ribosomal RNA
Source: RNAcentral
GCUUUACACAUGCAGUCGAGCGGGGAAGGGUAGCUUGCUACCUAACCUAGCGGCGGACGGGUGAGUAAUGCUUAGGAAUCUGCCUAUUAGUGGGGGACAACAUUCCGAAAGGAAUGCUAAUACCGCAUACGCCCUACGGGGGAAAGCAGGGGAUCUUCGGACCUUGCGCUAAUAGAUGAGCCUAAGUCAGAUUAGCUAGUUGGUGGGGUAAAGGCCUACCAAGGCGACGAUCUGUAGCGGGUCUGAGAGGAUGAUCCGCCACACUGGGACUGAGACACGGCCCAGACUCCUACGGGAGGCAGCAGUGGGGAAUAUUGGACAAUGGGCGGAAGCCUGAUCCAGCCAUGCCGCGUGUGUGAAGAAGGCCUUUUGGUUGUAAAGCACUUUAAGCGAGGAGGAGGCUACUGGGAUUAAUACUACCGGAUAGUGGACGUUACUCGCAGAAUAAGCACCGGCUAACUCUGUGCCAGCAGCCGCGGUAAUACAGAGGGUGCGAGCGUUAAUCGGAUUUACUGGGCGUAAAGCGUGCGUAGGCGGCUUCUUAAGUCGGAUGUGAAAUCCCUGAGCUUAACUUAGGAAUUGCAUUCGAUACUGGGAAGCUAGAGUAUGGGAGAGGAUGGUAGAAUUCCAGGUGUAGCGGUGAAAUGCGUAGAGAUCUGGAGGAAUACCGAUGGCGAAGGCAGCCAUCUGGCCUAAUACUGACGCUGAGGUACGAAAGCAUGGGGAGCAAACAGGAUUAGAUACCCUGGUAGUCCAUGCCGUAAACGAUGUCUACUAGCCGUUGGGGCCUUUGAGGCUUUAGUGGCGCAGCUAACGCGAUAAGUAGACCGCCUGGGGAGUACGGUCGCAAGACUAGAACUCAAAUGAAUUGACGGGGGCCCGCACAAGCGGUGGGAGCAUGUGGGUUAAUUCGAUGCAACGCGAAGAACCUUACCUGGUCUUGACAUAGUAACGAACUUCCAGAGCAUGGAUUGGGUGUCUUCGUGGAAGUUUAUUACAGGUGGUGGCGUGGGUUGUCGUGAGC